Falco peregrinus (peregrine falcon) is the source of this 7090-nucleotide long non-coding RNA. RefSeq lists it as uncharacterized. The record is from RefSeq and is a predicted model, not a curated record. The transcript has 3 exons. Lineage: Eukaryota; Metazoa; Chordata; Aves; Falconiformes; Falconidae.
UCAAAAAAAAAUCAUUAUACUUGAAUGAUAAGGCUCCUACAGUUAAUUAUUGAUUAACAAUUACUCCUAUGAGGGGUCAGUCGACCCACAAAUACAUGUAUCAGAAGAGCCCAUUUAGGUGUAGGGGGCAACAGAGCAGUUCAAACCUGUUGAAAUUAUUUCUUUAAUUAAUUAACAAGCCUUUAUUCUAAGCUUAGGUUUUGGGGAAAGCAGUCAGUUCUUGACCUGGAUGACAACAGCUGGAUGGAGUAUAUUGUUUUGAUCUAUUAGGACUGGGUGGUAAAGUUUGAGAGGAUGUGAUAUUUUUAGUAAGAUACUAUAUUUAUCUUUAAAUGUUUCUAUCUAUUUAUUGUUCUUGUUUCACUGAGUUGUAAGAAACUGAUCCGGUUAAAUACAGAGUUCACUUGUGCAUCAAGGCCUGUUACCUGAUAAUAUUUACCCUAUUUGUUGUUGUUUAUCCUAUUUUUUUUUGUUGCUUAUGGCUUACUGCUUAUAGCUUCUCAGCAGUGUCUAGAGUUUGGAUAUAGUGGAAGGAACUCAUUUGCUAUCUUAUCCUUAAUGUGGUAUUUUAUUUCUGUGAAUGAAAAGUGCCAGGUACUAUUUCAAGAGAAGUGGAUGUAACAGAACUUGAAAAUUACUGAGAGGAGAGAGGACGACUUCUUCCUAUCAUACUGCCUAUUCCUUUUCCACCCCUAUGGAAUAAAACCAGAAAGGACUGGACUUCAGCUCUGUGAAUCUGCUUCGCUGGCAUUUGUGGAACAUAAUGUAGACGUGGUUUCAUCUUUUCUUGGUUUAAAAAGAAACCACCAUGUAGUUAGGAUGCUUUGUCUUUUUCUUCUGGUGCUGAAAAAAAAAAUAAUCCUUUUUCUGGCUACAGGAGUGUGCGAUAGCGGAGAUGGAGAGACAGAGAAGUGUGCAGGGACGAGCAGCAGCAGGGAGAUGCAUUCAGGAUAGGUCCUGCCGACCAACCCCCUUUCAACAGCAGCACAUCAGACCUGAACUAAACUUGUUAGAUCUCUCAUGAAAGGAUUAAAUGCAGUAUUAAAUAAUACAUCAUACCACAGCAGCGAGAGGAGGCAGAGAGGCACAUUUCAGAUAUGUAAGUUGAAGAUGCAUGGUAGAGAUCACUUUGAUCUCGAUUCUGUUUGAUACAGUAAUUCCUGCACUCUGCCUGCCUUUAUGCAGAGAAAAAGUUGUACUGUCAGAAGCGUUAACUGUUGGGUGAGACAAAGAGCCUUUCUGUUCUCUUAAGAUCAGCCUGAUGGUAAUUUGUGUAACGUAAGGUUCCCACUGUGCUCCCCUCACCCUGACGGCCCUGGGCAGGUCUACAUGGUUUGAAAUGCAGUGCAGCGCCCUGUUUUGUUGUCAAAAAAUGGUGGAAAAAAAAGAGGAUGAGGAUUUGGGAGAAGUCUUUUAAGAAAAGAAUCAAAGAAUUUAAAGUUUUGGACCCUAAGAUUGCACAGAAUCUGUCAAUUUUCCUUCGCUCUUUCCGAGUGCCUGAUAAGGAAAUCAAAAUGGUGAUAGUGGAAGCAGACGAAACACAGCUGUAGAGUCCAUGAUUCAGAACUUGAUCAGACCCUGCUCUGAUGUGGCUGGGGAUGCAAACGGACACUUGUUUUGUGGCAAGAGUGCGCCAAGGGGCUCCUGCUCCAACAUGCUGGUGGGAUUCCUGCUUUGGUGCAAGGUAAAGUUGCUGAAGAGACAAAAGGAUCAGUCUGAGCACUUCAGCCUUCUAACUCAGUCUGAUCCAGAGAAGCUGGAACCUGGGGAAACACUAGCUGUCCAUUUCAAAAUUAGUUACCAGGCCAGUUAGUUGCUCAAAUGACGAACACUAACUGUGCUUUGGCUGUCACUGCCACUCUAAGUGGUUGUCUGUGUCCAGCCCAUGCCAGCUCUCUGCUCCUGACCCUGCCUGUCAGCAUCCCAUUGUACAGGGAAAGUGCAUGUCAAGGCCGCCUUAAAACAAAAAAUCACGCUUCAUUUGCAGGAACCCCUUUGCUUUCAAAUGGAUUAUUGAUGAUAAUAGUAAAAGGGAAAUAAUCUGACAUGAAGUGUGCAAUUGCUCUCCAGUUAAGCAUCGUUCCUUGUUUUGGAGGCAUUCAGAGCCUGAAAAGGCCCAAGGAAAAUUUUAUGUGACACAGACACUGUAAAAUAGCAGACCAGAAUUUGAGAACAAGAGUUUGAAAGUUUUUUUGGUUUUGUUUUUUUCCAAAUGCUACAGCCUUCAUUGAGGCACGGCUGGAAGGGGAGGCAGGUACACAUUAAAGCAAGAGAAGCAAAAGGAAGGAGGUGCCUGAAUGCUCUGUCAGGUGAUGGCUGUGGUGCUGCAGCUUGUUUUUUGGCUUUCUUAUUUUCGUCUCCUCCGUGGCCAUGUUGCAGCUCUGAUGUGGUUUUUUAUGCCAGAUCUACUUGGUAACUUGGGCACAGCCCUGUGUAAUACAAGAGCCCACAAAGCUGUCAGCUUUCAACGAUGUUUCUCUUUUGUUUAGAGUUCAUUUCCCCCUCUGACAGGUGGAGUGCACAGACUCAUCAGCAAUACUGGAUAUUAUCCAUUAUUUCUUUUCUGAAUUAUAAAAGUGAAUAGGUUUCCUGUUAUCUUGUCUAUUUAAUUGCAGUGCCACUAACUGAAGUAUUUGAUGUCAUCUAAAUAUUUGGUAAUUUUAAAAAUCUACUUCUCACACAAUAAAUACACUGAUGUGCCAGUCUGUACCCAGAAUUAACGAACACCUACUGACUGACUUUUCCAGACUUCAUGUCUUUGAGAGAAAUCCCUGGCAAACUGAAAGUUGCUCUAAAAAUGACAAACUCAAAAGCAACCUUCAGACUCUACCCUGAGCCCUCUAGAGACCGUCAAAUGAUCCGCUGAACAUCACAGUUGUUCUGCACUGUCUUUUCUUGAAGCUGUGUGUUUAAAAGUGAUUUCAGAGAAAGGUCAAGCAAUGGGAUCUUGUGAUUUCUGUAACAGCUCUGUGUCUGUGCUAAAGAAAAAAAUCAACCACCAACCAAACACCAGCUAGAGAGGAAGUUGGUGAGGGCUCAAUGCAGUUGCAAGUUCAUUUCUAGCACUUUCAGACUCAGAAAGCACCGCUGCUUCUGGGAAUAAAAAACCCAAGGAUGUUUUAGCAGUUUUGUCCAUUUGUAUUUAGACAAGGGGUUUCUUUUUCCCUUGGGAUUGCAUCCUUACAUCAGUAGCAGCUGGGAGCCUGAGGUGUUCCUGCACUGCUGUGGAAAGGUUAAUGGGAUUGCUGCCAGCUUCACUGUGGAGGAGUAUUCAGAUGCAGCAAGCUCUAGUGCAGCAAAGAACGGAACAGGAUCCUUUCAUGGUCUGGCAGUGGGAGAACAGCCCCGUUGCAGCCCACUGGGAAUGAUGCGGAUGCCGGGAAGCAGCUGACAUCAGUGCAUGCUCCGACACACACCCCAGCCAGCGCCCUCCACCUGGGUCGAGUGCCUGCCCCUCGCUUCCCCUCCAUGGGAAAGAACAGGUUUGCUUCAGCAGUUUUAAAAGCGGCUAGCAGGGUGCUCUGUGGGCAAGAGUGUGUUUUGUUACGGUUUAAUGGCAGCCAGAGGAAGUGGAUGGCUUAGUGGUCUCUGCUAUUCAGCAACUUGCUUCCCUGUUGUACUUGUCACGGAGGUGAAGUUCUUGGUUCCUCCAGAAUUAGUUGCAAGGGUCUCCUCCUGGCUACAGACCCAGAGAAAGGCACAGGGGGUCGUCUUCGAAGAAGGAGGCUUUGCACAGAGCAGCUGCAAGUUUCAGUUAUGAAGGUCAGUUCAGAGAAGACUGAAAAGACAGAAGAUGGGAGCAGAGACAAACGGGCACAAUGAUUUCUGCAUCCUUUGUGUCACUUUGUAGUGACACACCUUAUACGGGACCACCUUACGUAUUCAUACUACAUUUUUAUGAAAAAAAUAUGUUCUGCCACUGAUGCUGGCUUCAGGGGACUAAGGGGGUGCCAAUUAAAGCAGUCAUCAGGACAAACACAAAAGCUUGACUACAAUAGCUGGGGUGAGCAGCAGAAUGUGUCACUGUGGAUCUCGCCUGGACACACUCUGGUGGCAGAUACAGGAGUGGCUGUUAAAUAGUUCCAACACAGGACGGAGGCAACUGAAAAAUGCAUCUCUUAAGGGGGGAAAAGAGCAUGGAUGAGAUGCUGACCUUCAAGACAGUAACUUAAGUGUUUAGGAAAAAUGAGUACCUUAACAAGACUGUUAAAGAUAUAUGGAAGAAAUAAUGCUAUGGGGAGAGAAUAGAAAGGAAAAAAGAAAGAGAAAAGAAUUAACCUGGGAGAUAAAGAAUGGUGAUUAGAAAGUGCAAGACAGUGAGAAUAAAUAGGAUCAGAAGAGACAGCAAAGCGUAUGCAUGUACUUCAUGUUACUGCUUCUUUGUGGCUGUGUAGCUACCCCAGGUGGAGUAAAAAAUUAAUAAGGCAGGAAGAUCAAAAGGAAAAGGAACGGGGUGGGGGGAACAUCCUCUUCGGAAUACGAUUUGCGAUUGUAAUUAAGCUUCUAGCAGUAAUCAGCUGCUUCACCAGCCUGACCUGUUGUAGAGGCAGCGCCGGAGUGCCCAGACUUGCCAGCCCACAGAGCAGUUUAUGUGCCAACAUGUAAAUGACACCCUCACAUUGUGAAGAUCCUUACUCGCUCCAUGUGAAAACAUGUGUAAACGUUAUUUUUAAGAAGUGGCUAUAGCAGCUUCCUUCCAUCUCAACUCAGCAAUCCUCGCCGGCCGCGCUGAGUUCCCACGCUGCCGGUGCAGCUGCCUGCGCCCCCUCCCCUGGGUGGCCCUGAGUCGUGAUGUGGGUGCCUGGGCUCCCGGCCGUGGCCAGCAGUGCAAGGGAAGGGAAACAGGUGGCUGUGAGUGUGGCAGUUGUCUUAAUUGACGAAGUCUAAGUGGGUCUGCUAUAGCUUAUGGCAGCUGAAACGACCAUUUGCCAGCCGCUGGGCAAACCAGGGCUUCUUAAUGAAGUUCCUCCCACCAAGCGCACACGCAGCGUGGCCACUGGCUGAGGGAAUCUGCUGAAGCCGGCCCCUGUUCCCUUUCUGUCAUGGACCAGAAAGGAGAAGUUAUGGUUAUACCAUCUGCCCCUGCCAAGACAUGUCGGCAAGUUGCUGCCUUGCUUUGGCUGUGAUGUAUUUUUUAGUAUAUGGUGGUUUGCUUUCUAAAUGUUGAGAAAACUGACUUGGCACUUCCUGCAGCUGAACAGAGAACGUCUGAUCUACCUGCAGAGGUGCUGGCACAUGCAUGAGAAAUAAGGCACGCUUCUUGUGACUUGCCAAGCUGCUAAGUAAUAACGUGACAGAGAGAUCUGGUAACAAUAAUGAGAACCCCAUUUUGUUUCUGAACAAAAGACACUAUUGAAAACCUGUCUCGCAUGAAUAUUAUUUACAUACGUUUAUGCUGAACCCAACCCCACCCCACAGCAGUGCUGUGUCAAAGAGGAAAAAUCAAACGUUCAAGACAAAGCUAAAGAUGAAACAGAUUUAAACUAUGAUAGAUUUAACUUGGACUCAUUUACAAUUAUGUGGCACUGCAUUUCUCUAACUGUAUACAGACUGGAUUUAUUAUGGGGCCUGUGUUGUCUUCAAGGGCUUCUGGCAAAGCUGGAGACAACUGGAGAGAAACUACUGCUGCCUCCCCUCUGCCAGGAAACAUCGUCCUAAAGCACAGGGGCUGGCCUGCAAGGAGCACGCAGAAAGCUUCGCUGCAGCUUCAGACAGGAUUUUAGAGCUGCCUUCAGCCGGCCAAACCCUCAGGAAGCCCUGAGUGGCCUUACAAAGGAUAAAUCCCUGUUUUGUCAAGACAGAGUGGUUUUUAUUUACUCCAAGGAGGCAUAACCAGUGCUUCUCUACGACAACAAAAGGGUGAGUCUGAUCCCAUGACCAAAACAGUAUUCCUCAAACAUGUCAUCAUUCAGAGAUGUUAAAAAGCCAGGCUUUCUGAAAAGCAUAAUUUACUGGCUGUAAGCUUGUAUAGGAAAUUCCAGUAUAACAUUACAGUACGUAACAAAAAUAUCCGCCAAAGGAGCAGAGUUAGUUGGGCUUUGAUACCUUUUGAAUGUGCGGGUUUGUAAUCUACAGCUGGGUAUGAGCAAUGGUGGGUACCUGGAAUUUUUACAGCGUUUUCGGUGGAGCUGAUACAGCCCGUGGCCUGCUGCUACCCCACCUGAGCUCUGUGUUCCCCAUCGUGUCCUCGUCUCCUGAGCAAACGGUUUUUCCUCCCAAAGCCUCGCACCUCCUGGCUGGUCCCAGUGCUGCCUGCCACGGGGCGGGCAGAGAAGGGCUGGUCAGGGAGCCUGGUGACAUUGCUGCCUCCUGCCCCUGCCAUCCCUGUCUCUUGCUUGAAUGUCCUUGAAUGUCCGUGUUCCCUUCCCCGAGCCAGCGCCGCGGACAGCCUGAGCCACACACACAUCUGAACGCUCCCUGUACCUGGCUACUAGUUUGGGCUCUCCCGGGAUUUGACUACCGGCUAUCAAAACUCCAGCUAAAAUUAGAAGAGAACUUAGGUGUUCAGAUUUCAUUGUUUCUGGUAUAAAUGAUGCUGAAGGUCUAAUCUUACUCCACUAACAACUUCUGCUGAUUUCACCGCUGGUUGUGGAACACCCGCUAGCCAUGGCGGGCGCGCUGGCUGCCUCGCAAGCUGAGAUCGCGAUGCCCUACGCCAUGCCACGCAUCGGAGAGGAACGAGUGAGGACUUCCCUGAGGUACGAGGGACAAACAGUGGGUCCAGCCGUGCCCGUGGCCCACAGAGAAAACAGGGUCGGGUGGGUGGCGGGUGGUGUCCGGGCUCACGCUGCGAGUGGGUUACAGUGCACCGAAGGCAGCUCUGGCUGGGGGGGGGGGGGGGUCCUGCCGAGGGGCACACGCCGGGCACCGCAAGCUUGACCCAAGGGCUAUGUGGGUUUCCCAGCGCGCUGUGCCCGAACGCAGCCGACAGCCCCUGCGGCCCCGCUCCCCCCACCGUGCUGGGACAGCCGCACGGCCCGAGCGGAGUUGUUCCCCCCGCCCCGGGCUGCCCCCCGCCCGCACGGGGGGCCCGGAGCCUUACGGGGGGCACGGCCGGCGCCCCCGGCCCCCCAGACCCCCACCCCCCCCG